GUGCUCACUUCGGAGGCACAUAUUGAAAUUUGAAAGAUACAGAGAAUAUUAGCAAGGCCUCUGCUCAAGGAUGACACACAAUUUGUGAAGUGUUCCAUAUUUUU
This is a small nuclear RNA of Mesocricetus auratus (golden hamster), 104 nucleotides long. NCBI's taxonomy places the organism in Eukaryota, Metazoa, Chordata, Mammalia, Rodentia, Cricetidae. The record is from Ensembl.